This 762-nucleotide ribosomal RNA is filed under the name Bacillus altitudinis. RNAcentral describes it as "bacterial SSU rRNA". It matches the Rfam family "Bacterial small subunit ribosomal RNA", at positions 39 to 784 of the family's 1533-position model. Lineage: Bacteria; Bacillati; Bacillota; Bacilli; Caryophanales; Bacillaceae. The record is from RNAcentral.
GCGGCGUGCCUAAUACAUGCAAGUCGAGCGGACAGAAGGGAGCUUGCUCCCGGAUGUUAGCGGCGGACGGGUGAGUAACACGUGGGUAACCUGCCUGUAAGACUGGGAUAACUCCGGGAAACCGGAGCUAAUACCGGAUAGUUCCUUGAACCGCAUGGUUCAAGGAUGAAAGACGGUUUCGGCUGUCACUUACAGAUGGACCCGCGGCGCAUUAGCUAGUUGGUGAGGUAACGGCUCACCAAGGCGACGAUGCGUAGCCGACCUGAGAGGGUGAUCGGCCACACUGGGACUGAGACACGGCCCACACUCCUACGGGAGGCAGCAGUAGGGAAUCUUCCGCAAUGGACGAAAGUCUGACGGAGCAACGCCGCGUGAGUGAUGAAGGUUUUCGGAUCGUAAAGCUCUGUUGUUAGGGAAGAACAAGUGCAAGAGUAACUGCUUGCACCUUGACGGUACCUAACCAGAAAGCCACGGCUAACUACGUGCCAGCAGCCGCGGUAAUACGUAGGUGGCAAGCGUUGUCCGGAAUUAUUGGGCGUAAAGGGCUCGCAGGCGGUUUCUUAAGUCUGAUGUGAAAGCCCCCGGCUCAACCGGGGAGGGUCAUUGGAAACUGGGAAACUUGAGUGCAGAAGAGGAGAGUGGAAUUCCACGUGUAGCGGUGAAAUGCGUAGAGAUGUGGAGGAACACCAGUGGCGAAGGCGACUCUCUGGUCUGUAACUGACGCUGAGGAGCGAAAGCGUGGGGAGCGAACAGGAUUAGAUA